Molecule: unclassified non-coding RNA, 367 nt
Filed under: uncultured bacterium
Lineage: Bacteria
Description: contains 16S-23S intergenic spacer region
Source: RNAcentral
UCCCCGUUGCCGAGGCAGUCUGUUUAGAAAAAUCCAACUAAACACGAGGGUUGCGCUCGUUAAAGGACUUAACCUGACAUCUCACGACACGAGCUGACGACGACCAUGCAUCACCUGUCACUGGUCCAACUAAAUGACACUCUAAUCUCUUAGAGUUAUGACCAGGAUGUCAAGUCUGGGUAAGGUUCUUCGCGUAGCCUCGAAUUAAACCACACGCUCCACCGCUUGUGCGGGUCCCCGUCAAUUCCUUUGAGUUUUAGCCUUGCGGCCGUACUCCCCAGGCGGGAUGCUUAACGCGUUAGCUUUGCUACUUAAAGGGGUCGAUACCCUCAAACAGCUAGCAUCCAUCGUUUACGGCGUGGACUAC